CGCCUUGCCAGCCCGCUCAGAAACUUAAAGGAAUUGACGGGGCCCGCACAAGCGGUGGAGUAUGUGGUUUAAUUCGAUGCAACGCGAAGAACCUUACCUGGUCUUGACAUCCCGGAGACCCUUAGGAAACUAGGGGGUGCUUCCAUCUGGAAGAAUCUGGAGACAGGUGCUGCAUGGCUGUCGUCAGCUCGUGUCGUGAGAUGUUGGGUUAAGUCCCGCAACGAGCGCAACCCUUGCCUUUAGUUGCCAGCAGUUCGGCUGGGCACUCUAAAGGGACUGCCGGUGUUAAACCGGAGGAAGGUGGGGAUGACGUCAAGUCCUCAUGGCCUUUAUGACCAGGGCUACACACGUACUACAAUGGCCGAUACAAAGGGCAGCGACACUGCGAGGUGAAGCCAAUCCCGUAAAAUCGGCCUCAGUCCGGAUUGGAGUCUGCAACUCGACUCCAUGAAGUUGGAAUCGCUAGUAAUCGUGGAUCAGCAUGCCACGGUGAAUACGUUCCCGGGCCUU
This 510-nucleotide ribosomal RNA is filed under the name uncultured Desulfobulbus sp. Its description in RNAcentral is "bacterial SSU rRNA". It matches the Rfam family "Bacterial small subunit ribosomal RNA", at positions 903 to 1382 of the family's 1533-position model. The record is from RNAcentral. Lineage: Bacteria; Pseudomonadati; Thermodesulfobacteriota; Desulfobulbia; Desulfobulbales; Desulfobulbaceae.